GUGGUAGGAUAGAUUCAGGGUCAGAUGGAGGCAACUCACACCCAUUCCCUCUUCUGCGAUAUCCGAGAGAUUUCAAUAAGAUGCACAUUCUUGAUGGUCGAAUAUAUCUACUAUAAGAUGAAUUAUGCAGCAGAUUAGGUUGCUUUCUUCGUGGCUCAACACUCAGAGAACGUCCUGUGGAUCGAGACAAUGACUAUUAUUAUUAUUAUUCUUAAAAAUAUUUUAUUUUUUGAUUUUAUUGAAAUAUUCAUAGUAAACUAGUAUGAUCAGUUCAUUUCUAUUAAAAAAAAAACAUCAC
Molecule: long non-coding RNA, 298 nt
Filed under: Elaeis guineensis (African oil palm)
Lineage: Eukaryota; Viridiplantae; Streptophyta; Magnoliopsida; Arecales; Arecaceae
Description: long non-coding RNA (EGUI_LNC000765)
Source: RNAcentral